This 593-nucleotide ribosomal RNA is filed under the name Morchella ulmaria. RNAcentral's name for it is "partial 28S ribosomal RNA". It matches the Rfam family "Eukaryotic large subunit ribosomal RNA", at positions 51 to 654 of the family's 3401-position model. The record is from RNAcentral. Lineage: Eukaryota; Fungi; Ascomycota; Pezizomycetes; Pezizales; Morchellaceae.
CGGAGGAAAAGAAACCAACAGGGAUUGCCUCAGUAACGGCGAGUGAAGCGGCAAAAGCUCAAAUUUUAAAGCUGGCACCUCCGGUGUCCGCGUUGUAAUUUUGUGAGGCAUCUCCGGGUAGGGCGCCGGCCUAAGUUCCUUGGAACAGGACGUCAUAGAGGGUGAGAAUCCCGUGCUUGGCUGGCUGUCCCCGUCCAUGUGAGGUGUCUUCGACGAGUCGAGUUGUUUGGGAAUGCAGCUCAAAAUGGGUGGUAAAUUUCAUCUAAAGCUAAAUAUUGGUGGGAGACCGAUAGCGCACAAGUAGAGUGAUCGAAAGAUGAAAAGCACUUUGAAAAUAGAGUUAAAAAGUACGUGAAAUUGUUGAAAGGGAAGCGCUUGAGACCAGACUUCGGUGGGGAGUGAUCAGCUGUCCUUCUGGGCGGUGCACUUGCUCCCCUCCGGGCCAGCAUCGGUUGGGACGGCGGGAUAAAGGUCCUGGGAAUGUGGCUCCUUUCGGGGAGUGUUAUAGCCCGGGAUGAAAUGCCGCCAGCUCCGACCGAGGACCGCGCCUUCGGGCUAGGAUGCUUGGCAUAAUGGUCUUCAGCGACCCGUCU